UAAAAAGAAAUUGAAUUUACUAAGCACGGAACCCUCGACCUCUCGUCUCUCGAACCCUAAUUCCACCUUUAUUCCCUGCAACUUUCAUUCCACCUCUCUUCUCUCUCGACCUCUCCUCUUCCUUUCAUUCUUCGUUCUUCUUGCAUAUAACUCUCACAUAAAGUUAUAAACACUGAAACAACGAGAGCAAGUUUCACCAUCUUCACCCUCUUACUUUCCUUUUUCGCAGGGACACACAACAUAAGCUUCUCUCGUUUUCAUUUUCAACCGCUCUCAAAACCUCUAAAAGCAUCUCGGUAAACCCUUUUCCUUUUUCUUCUAAUUUUCUAUGUUCAAAUAUUUGUAUAAAAAUGAUGAUAUUUAUCUUAAAGAGUUGAACGAUCGAUUUUCUUAAAUCACCAUCGUCAACUCUUCCUGCACGAUCGGUGGAACUCGAUUAGGGUUCCAGAAUAUCAUUUGCGUCUCUGUGAGGAUAAGAAAAUUUGGGUUUCUGAGAAUAAAAAAAUUAGGUUUUUUGAGGACAGGAAGGAAGAGAAGAGGGAAUGAAGGAAAUUUUGGGAUAAAAUCAAGAAGGAGGAAGAAAAAGGUGGUGAUAAUAAGUUUAGAGGCAUUCAUGAAGGCAAGGUUAAGGAAGAAGACACUGAAGGUGUCCAUGGCUCAACUUCUUCCAAGGACACUGUAUUUGACAACCAAGGUUGUUGGUGUCAGUGCGUUUGCAGAUGCAGGAACUCAUCCGAGGAUAUAUCUUUGGCCGAGCUACAGAUUCACGCUAUUUCUGUGACCUUGGAUUACCAGCUAUUGGAUUCUCACCUAUGGCAAACACCCCUCUUCUACUCCAUGACCAUAAUAAGUAUUAUCAAUAUUGGUCUGCAAGGUCUUGUAUACUUCUUGAUCCUCAUUGGUUGGAUUCUUGUUGCUGGCACAUUUAUACUUUGUGGUAUAUUUCUCUUUCUUCACAAGUUUGGAGAGACCAAAUGCUACUUUAGCAUCUGUGGUACAAUCUCUAAAGUUCAGUUUGAAGAUAGUGUGUUGGAAGCUUUAUUAAUGUCGAUUAAUCUUAGUGGUUUGAAAAACCUUUUAUCAUUGUAAAUGGCUUUGACAUAGUGCCAGCUUAGAUUAUUAAAUUUGUUUAUUAUGAAUAUAUAUUAAAAUUGUGGGUGUUGAAUAGGUAACACAUUGUAAGAGAUUUAUUAAUGUAAUUGUUUAAGAGAUUGUUAAAGAAUAAGAGUUGUAUUUAUUUUUUUGAAUUCUAUUUAUAAAAAAUAAUCAGUUCUUGUUAUUUGAACAUUUGGCAAUUCUGUUUGACUUUUAUCAUUGUCAGCUAUAUAAAACUUCUAACUAUUGACUGCAAUAGAAUCAUCUAUUUUAUUUUUUUAUAAAAUCAUAAUUAUAUACGGAUUUUUCCGUAUAUAAUUAUAUACGGAUUUUUCCGUAUAUAAUUAUAUACAGAUUUUAUAUACGGAUUUUUUCGUAUGUAAUUAUAUACGGAAGAAUCUGUAUGUAAUUAUAUACGGAUAUAUCCGUAUGUAAUUUACCUACGCUCUUUUUAUAUAUGGAUUUUUGUCCGUAUAUAAUCCGUAUGUAACAUCAUUUUAUAUACGGAUUUUGAAGGUUAUAUACGGAUUUUAGUUGUAUAUAACUGUGAUUUUUCUUGUAGUGAAACAACUUUUGUCAUCCUAUCUGAAUACUUCUUAUCCAUGCACUGAACAUGAGUAUGAGUCUAUGGUUGAUAUUGUUUCUAAAUUUGAAAGUGAUUCAUGUUCUGAGAGUAUAAUUGAGGUUCAGUCUGAUAAAUUGGGAUUGGGUGUUAUACCUCUGCAUGUCAUUUCUUUGGAGCCACAUUGCACUAACCAUGUUGCAGGAGGUACACAUGAAUUUGAUCAACAAACAUCCCCAAUUAAAGACAAAGGUGCGAGCCUACAAAACAACUUGAAGAUCAAUAGGCACUGGUUGAACCUGCUCAUCAACAAUCCUUCCUUCUUAGAUCUAGCUGUGGAUGAUAUCUCCCUACUAGAUCAAAUUUGGAGGAUGAAGCAAUUCUUCCUCAAAACUUCCUUGCUGGAUCCAAUGGUGGAAGACAUCUCCCUACAGGUCCAAAAUUGGCAACUGCCACCAUGUCCAGGGGAGUUUUCUUUUUCCCUUCUCCCCCUUUCCCUACUUUUAUUGCACUUGUCCAUGAUCUGUUCACUGUUCUGAUUUCUGAUCUUAUACUUAUGACACAUUGAGGACACUGUGUAGUUUAAGUGUGGUCUAUUGGGGGAGAUUUUUAUUUUUCUUUGUUAGUUUUUUUUUCUUGGUUAAAUUUUUUAUUUUCUAGGUUAUUUUUGUCGUGUCUUGUGUACAAUUUGCAUGUUUCUCUUGCUUUCUAGACUUUAUUUAGUUUGUAGACUUGACCUUCACUUCAUUGAUUGGCUUGAAAUCUUUGCUUUUCUUUCCUUAGGAAGAUGAUUAUGAGAUUCAUAUGUUUGAAUUUUUUUUCCUACAUAAUCAAUGAUGCCAACAUUAAAAAAAUUGCAUUUGUAUAAAGAGACAAACUAUUGAGUUGGGAGCAAUAUACUUAUAUUUAAACUUAAGAUGUCUGCAAAAACACUAGCAAGAAUUGGACAAGUUGAUCUAUCUUCAAAACUUUAUUACAUAAUUGUUUAAAAAAAGAGCAUAGAUCAAUCAAAAUAGAGGACACUUCUUUAGGGAGUGUCUUUCUUAUUGCCAAAGGAAGAAGUUGCUCCAUCAACACAUGUGAGUUAUGACUUUUUCGUCCUCCAAUCUUACGUUGUUUGACAUCAAUACAUCUACUGAUGUUACUUGAGUAACCAUCAGGUACAAUUAUAUUCUUCAAAGUUUUUAGAAAUAUAUCCUUAUUUACAUUUGAUAAUGUAUAUAUAGCAGGAAGAUAUCUACCAUUCUCAUCACGGCACAGAUCUGGUCUAAUACCCUAAAGUUGUUAAAUGCUACUUCUGAUGGCAGUAAUGAUAGCAUCUACUGAUGGAUGCUUCUACAACAUUUACUGAUGGAUAUUGCUAUGAUGAGGAUGAUGAAUGACAACAUCUACUGAUGAAUACUACUAUGGAAGAAGACAGUGACUAGACAUCUACUGAUGGAUGUUAGGUGAUUAGGAAUCUACUGAUGGAUGCCGAUGAAGAUGAGAGAGAUUGGUGUCUAUUGAGGCAUACCAAUGAAGAUAGGAAAUAUUAGCAUCUCUGAUGGAUGCUAUGUGAUUAGACAUCUACUGAUGGAUGUUACUGACAACAUCUAAUGAUGAAUGCUAUGAUGAUGAAGAUGGUGUCAAGCUAGUGACGUUAAAGAAGCGCUUACUGGGAGGCCACCCAGCUUUCUAAACCUUUCCUUUUGAUCUUUUUUUUUUGUUAUUGCUCUUUGCUUGAAUGAACUACACUACUUUGGUUCAACUAUGAUGUGUUUUGUGAUAAGUAUUGCUUUGUGAUGCUCUAGUAUAUUGAUUGAUGUUGAGAUGAUGCAUGAUGUGCUAAUAUACAGGUGAUGGCUCACAGUGUAUGAAACAGGUGCUUGAGGUAAAAUUUGAUUGAGAUACUAAGCAGGUUGUUUUUCUGAAUUCUAGGACCUGAAAGUUUACUUGUGUGAGUUUUGGGCUUCAGAGUUUUUGUGAAUGAUUGCCAUUACUUUGGAAGCAUGAAUGAUUUUGCCCAAGUUUUAUGUGAUUGAACUACUGAGGUAAGAUGAGAGAGAUUGGUGUCUACUGAGGCAUACCAAUGAAGAUAAGAAAUAUUAGCAUCUCUGAUGGAUGCUAUGUGAUUAGACAUCUACUGAUGGAUGUUACUGACAACAUCUAAUGAUGAAUGCUAUGAUGAUGAAGAUGGUGUCAAGCUAGUGACGUUAAAGAAGCGCUUACUGGGAGGCCACCCAGCUUUCUAAACCUUUCCUUUUGAUCUUUUUUUUUUUGUUAUUGCUCUUUGCUUGAAUGAACUACACUACUUUGGUUCAACUAUGAUGUGUUUUGUGAUAAGUAUUGCUUUGUGAUGCUCUAGUAUAUUGAUUGAUGUUGAGAUGAUGCAUGAUGUGCUAAAAUACAGGUGAUGGCUCACAGUGUAUGAAACAGGUGCUUGAGGUAAAAUUUGAUUGAGAUACUGAGCAGGUUGUUUUUCUGAAUUCUAGGACCUGAAAGUUUACCUUUGUGAGUUUUGGGCUUCAGAGUUUUUGUGAAUGAUUGCCAUUACUUUGGAAGCAUGAAUGAUUUUGCCCAAGUUUUCUGUGAUUGAACUACUUGCUUGUAGGUUUCAUAUGAUCAAGGCCAUCUUUUGUUAUCCCUUAUUCUUUUAGCCUUCACAUGAUUUUUCUCCACUAAAAAGAAAACAAUUUGUUUUAACCUUUGAACCAUGAGCCUCAUGCAUGUUUUAAAAAACCUUUGUGAAAAUAUUUACCUUGAGUUAAGUUGAGAACAUUUGAUGAGGUAUUGAUAAAGGUUCAAGUUUGGGGUUGCUGGAAAGAUUGAGAAAGGAAAAAGAAAAAGCAGUGAGUACAUGAAAAACAAAAGCAAAAGAAAAAGAAAAAUGAAAAGAAAAGAAAAGAAAAGCCUCAAUGCAAGGGAAAGCUGGGAAAAAGAAAGUGAGUUUGUGCUUGAAUGAUGAAAUCAUAAAUGUCUCUUAACUCAAGGAUUUUGUUGACCAGAAAAACCAAUUUCCUUCCUAGCCCAGCCAUGUUACAAGCCAUAAAAAGCCCUUGUGAUGAGAACUUGCUUGUGAGUUUGUUUGAUUAUGGCUAAAUGAAAGGCAAAGUUAAUUUGUGUGACAUUGUGAUAGUAGAGUGAAAAAGACACCAACACCUCACUAUACACCUUUUAGUAGUUAUUUGAAUUUCUAAUUACAUCUUUGAUUGGUUGAUUGAUCAUUAUUAAGGAUAGCAUAUCUUGAAGUAUAUGAGCAUCACAUUGACUUUGAUUGAAUUAAGGCAUAUGCAUAUCUUGACUGACAUCUUUAUGCUGAGUUGAUAAAAGUGAUUCUUGUCUUGGAAGGAAAAGUUUUGAAAAAUGUUGAAUCAUUGUAGUAAUUUUUCUGAAAUUCUGAGUUACAAUUUGUUUUGCUUGAGGACAAGCAAAGUUCUAAGUUUGGGAUUGUGAUAACAGUUGAAAAUACCGUUAUAUGUGAUGUAAUUUUGAUACUAAAUGCACCCUUUUCUGCUUAGAAACAUGCUUGGAAUCAUGUUUUUCUGUUAAGUUGUGUGAAUAAGAGAGUGAAGAUUGAAUUUGAUGAAUUCUUGACUAAAUUCCCUUGUUUUGGCAGGAAAGGAGAUAAUAUGGAAACCAAAGAUGAAGUGCCAAGGAGAUGAAGCUCAGAAAGGCCUGGAAAAGCAACACAAGAGUGUCGCUCACCGCUCGGGCACCGCUUUUGGGCGCUUGAGUGUCAGAAGCACGAAGCUUAGGCGCCCUUUUUUUGAGGCUUAAGUGUUAGGAACCACCGUUCACCGCCCGGGCACCCUAAGUAGGACGCUUGAGCGCUAGCGACACGGGCCUGAGCCUUGUUUCUGUUAUGUUUUCACUCUAUUUAAAGGACCCAGAUGUCCUAGGUUGAAUCAUCUUUGGUAAAGGGAGCGCAACAGCACACUCUUUCAGUCUCUGGAGGCAGAUUUGGAUGCCGGAGCUUCCAUCUUCUACUUUUAGAGUUUUUCUAUCUCAUUCUUCUCCAUUAUUCAUCUAGUUUCACCAUGUCUAUGGUGAACUAAACACUAUUUAUUGUUGGGGGAUGAUGUAACCUUGUGAACUCUCAUGUAUUUGAAUUGAUUCUUAAUAAUAUAUGUUUUUUCAUUAA
Vigna angularis (adzuki bean) is the source of this 5777-nucleotide long non-coding RNA. RefSeq lists it as uncharacterized. The transcript has 6 exons. The record is from RefSeq and is a predicted model, not a curated record. NCBI's taxonomy places the organism in Eukaryota, Viridiplantae, Streptophyta, Magnoliopsida, Fabales, Fabaceae.